GACAGAGGCCUCAAACGUUAGGCGGAAUCACUGGGCUUAAAGCGUGUGUAGGCGGAUCGUUAAGUGUCUUGUGAAAUCCCACGGCUCACCCGUGGAACGGCUGGGCAUACUGGCGAUCUUGGGCCAACUAGGGGCAACUGGAACAAGCGGUGGAGCGGUGAAAUGCGUAGAUAUCGCUUGGAACGCCGAAGGUGAAAACAGGUUGCUGGGGUUGUGCCGACGCUGAGACACGAAAGCCAGGGGAGCAAACGGG
RNAcentral lists this ribosomal RNA (253 nucleotides) under uncultured bacterium. RNAcentral's name for it is "partial 16S ribosomal RNA". It matches the Rfam family "Bacterial small subunit ribosomal RNA", at positions 524 to 776 of the family's 1533-position model. The record is from RNAcentral.